This 441-nucleotide ribosomal RNA is filed under the name uncultured bacterium. Its description in RNAcentral is "bacterial SSU rRNA". It matches the Rfam family "Bacterial small subunit ribosomal RNA", at positions 338 to 795 of the family's 1533-position model. The record is from RNAcentral.
CCUACGGGAGGCAGCAGUGGGGAAUCUUGCGCAAUGGGCGAAAGCCUGACGCAGCAACGCCGCGUGGGGGACGAAGGCUCUCGGGUUGUAAACCCCUUUCAGCAGGAACGAAAUUGACGGUACCUGCAGAAGAAGCCCCGGCCAACUACGUGCCAGCAGCCGCGGUAAUACGUAGGGGGCGAGCGUUGUCCGGAUUCAUUGGGCGUAAAGAGCUCGUAGGCGGCUUCGUAAGUCGGGUGUGAAAACCCCAGGCUCAACCUGGGGACGCCACUCGAUACUGCGAUAGCUAGAGUCUGGUAGGGGAUCACGGAAUUCCUGGUGUAGCGGUGAAAUGCGCAGAUAUCAGGAGGAACACCGGUGGCGAAGGCGGUGAUCUGGGCCAGUACUGACGCUGAGGAGCGAAAGCGUGGGGAGCAAACAGGAUUAGAUACCCCUGUAGUC